CCUGGUGUCAAUGGCGCAGUGGCCCCACUUCGAUUCCAUCCCGAACUCGAUUGUGAAACAUUGUAGCGGCGAAGAUAGUGAGGACGUUGGUCCUUGUCAAAAUAGCUCGAUGCCAGGU
This 118-nucleotide ribosomal RNA is filed under the name Phormidesmis sp. RL_2_1. The record is from RNAcentral. Lineage: Bacteria; Bacillati; Cyanobacteriota; Cyanophyceae; Leptolyngbyales; Leptolyngbyaceae.